Molecule: non-coding RNA, 774 nt
Organism: Salvelinus sp. IW2-2015
Lineage: Eukaryota; Metazoa; Chordata; Actinopteri; Salmoniformes; Salmonidae
Source: RefSeq, a predicted model, not a curated record
UGCWUAAGAACAGCCCUUAGCCGUGGUAUAUUGGCCAUAUACCACACCCCCUCGGGCCUUAUUGCUUAAUUGUUGUCUCCUAGUUCCUCUUAGUCAGGUGGUAUCAGAUACUGUUGUCAGGUACAGUACAGGUGGUAUCAGAUACAGUACAGGUGGUAUCAGGUACAGUACAGGUGGUAUCAGGUACAGUACAGGUGGUAUCAGAUACUGUUGUCAGGUACAGUACAGGUGGUAUCAGAUACUGUUGUCAGGUACAGUACAGGUGGUAUCAGGUACUGGUGUCAGGUACAGUACAGGUGGUAUCAGGUACUGGUGUCAGGUACAGUACAGGUGGUAUCAGGUACUGUUGUCAGGUACAGUACAGGUGGUCUACUAGGUCGAGGUCAUUCCUUCGGAUAGACUGUCAUUCAAAGAUUUCUGGUUUCUUCUGUGUGCAUUAAUAUAAAUCUCUCUGUGURUGUGWGAGAGAGWGAAUUCAGGCAGGAUAAAGUGAAACAGUGCAGUAAAGGGAUUAAAGGUGUCCUGUAAGGAUGGAAGAACUGAGGACAAAGUCAGGACAUCUGACGUCACGUCCCAGCCUUACUACUGAUGACAUCACAAUGAGUAAGAAGAAUUCCCUUCAAAACUGGGCUGAACCACUGCAGCCACAGAGAGAGGGGUGUUCCACCAGCUCCACAGCUGUUCGGUAGAACCUGGACCGUGUUCAUUAAGGCACACCGUAGCAAAACGUUUCUUCAAUUUCAUACCUAAUGAACACAACCCUGGACUGUCUGU